GAUGAAGAUGCUAAGUGUCCUCUCCUCAAGAGAAAGUCUGCUGAUGCUGUGGUGGAUAAGUUAAAUGAAGUGGAUAGUUCUGAAAAUUCAUGUGAUAAAGUUGAUGAAAGUGAAGAGGAGUAUGUGGUUGGCGUUAAUCGAGGCUCUGUUGAUGCUGAGAAAGAUGUGAAGCCUUCGUUGAAGAGGUUGAGAAGAUCUUUGAGGCUGCAAUUUGAUGAAGCUAAUGAGUCUUGUGGCUCUGGGAAUGACGGCUCCUCUGGACAUAGGGUUAAUUGAGGUGGCUGCCCAUGGCAGUUAACUAGAGCUACUGAUUAGGACUAAUCUAGGGCAUUAGGUAAUUUGGUUGUGUCCAUGUAAUAGCAUUUGAUGCAUUAGAUUGUAGUGGAU
This is a non-coding RNA of Arachis ipaensis, 387 nucleotides long. NCBI's taxonomy places the organism in Eukaryota, Viridiplantae, Streptophyta, Magnoliopsida, Fabales, Fabaceae. The record is from RefSeq and is a predicted model, not a curated record.